This 757-nucleotide long non-coding RNA is filed under the name Homo sapiens (human). RNAcentral describes it as "HSALNT0380714". The record is from RNAcentral. Lineage: Eukaryota; Metazoa; Chordata; Mammalia; Primates; Hominidae.
UUGGUGUGGGGGCAGUUUUUAUGUUCUAUAAUACAAAGCAUACUAAAUGGAAUAAAUGGAAAUUUAGAGUCACAGUUAAACAUUCGACUUAUGUCUUCUCUUUUAAGCAUUUUAAACUACCUCUAUUAUAUUGAUUUUUAGAAGAAUUGUUUUCUAAAGAAAACUGCUUCCUGAUGUUGGCGCAGGAUAUAAAGAAUAGGAUUUCCCAGAAGAAGAGACAUUUUUAUCCCAGUAAUCCUGCUGUGUUUAGUCAUUCCUCCCAAUGCCAGUGAUCCCUUAAAUCUGGGUGUUGUCCAUCAUCAUCCCUGCCCGUCUCCGUGCAUCCACAACUGCCACAUCCUGAGAGCUCAGUCCAUCAUAAAUGCAAUUAUAGCCUUUUACCUCCUCCUCACCAGAUACUCUCUACAGGGCAAGUUCAUCAAACUGUGUGCUUAGAAGCUCUGGAGCAGAACUCUCACCCACCAGAAGAUUGCCUCAAGAGAUAAAAGAUGAUUUACAACCCAAAGUAUGCCCACUAGAGGUUUUGGCCAUUUUUACAAUGUAUUCCUGCCCAUGAAGAUGCCAACUUGACUGCCCAAUACAUAAAGCACCAAAGCAAGUAUGCGGACCCCCCCACACCUCCUCACUUCUGCUCCUGUGUAGACCCCCAUCUUUAAAAGCACUUACUUUCUCCUGCAAAAGCAAAUCAGACCCUUACAGCAGGAAGGCUUUUCUUCUUCUCCUAAACUAGCUUUGGAAUAAAAAGUUAUUUUCUUUA